This 1119-nucleotide long non-coding RNA is filed under the name Macaca mulatta (Rhesus monkey). RNAcentral's name for it is "lncRNA (ENSMMUG00000062340.1)". The record is from RNAcentral. Lineage: Eukaryota; Metazoa; Chordata; Mammalia; Primates; Cercopithecidae.
UGCCUACGUCUCCAAAUCUCCUUAAUGCCAAAGGCAGUAAUGGGCGUGUGCUGUGCCUGCCUAAUGAGCUGUAAAACGAACCAGUGGGUGAUUUGUUUCUUGCCGUCAAGACCCUGGUUAAGUAACAGCCAGGACGACGGAAGGAAGGCCGGGCGUCCUGUCCCCCGGACAGCACUCUGGACAUCAGGCUCUCUGAUCACAAUCAAUUCAAAGAUCUACAUUCCCUUGAAGUGCUCACGGGGCCGUAUCCUGCGUGGUUUCCGUCUUAGUGUACGUGGAACGUCAGCACUGUCUUCUCGAGAUCUGUCAUUUUGAAAUUGUCAUUGCCAAUAAUUGUACGUAUUGCGACAAUUUCCUAAGUCACGAUUCACCGUCCGUCCUUCAAAUGCUGGAGACGCUCUCUUGUUUCCCAGUUUAAACACGUUGACAGGCAACACCACAAACGUCUUUAGAAAUGGAAGUUUGUCUUCUUUUUCUUGUUAUUUUUGUCACUUGUUUCUUCUAUCAAAUAACAGCCUUGUUGGGUUGGUGAGAGGGAACCACUUGUGGGUCUUGAUUUCCGAAGAUGCAGGGCAGAUUUGCAAGGCCACAAGCACCUGCUUCAGGUGAGACGUUUGGGGUCUCUCAGGAGGGCGAGAGACAGAGCGGGGGACUCUGCCGAAGGAUUUUCCAUAAACGGAACGUGGACAGGUCCUGUAGGUGGGUCCUCCCUUUGGUCUCAGCAUCAUGGCUGAGACGAGUCCAGUCAUAGCUACGUCAGAGUGGCAGGGUCCUUGCUUCUCACUGCUGUCCAGGUUCUCCUGUGCGUACCCCACAGGCUGUGCACCCACCGUGCCAUCAGUGGGCAUCUGGGGCGCAUGGUAGACCACGUGCAGGUCAGCCCGCGUGAGCCCGUGUCCUGGUGUCCGCCCCGUGCAGUCCGUCCCUGGGGUGGCCUGAGGCUGCCUUGCCUCCCUUGGGCUGAGGCUGGAACAACUGCGGCCUCUCUUACCUUCCUGCUGGCGUCCUCUGGGGAGUAUCCAGAAGUGAGGGAUGGUGAUGGCAGCCCCAGGAGAUAAUCCCACCAGCAGCCACGUGAGUGAGCUUGGAGACCACGCAGCCGAGAGAGGCCACCCGGCA